Molecule: transfer RNA, 75 nt
Filed under: Dialister pneumosintes
Lineage: Bacteria; Bacillati; Bacillota; Negativicutes; Veillonellales; Veillonellaceae
Also listed under: 1 other name
Description: tRNA-Cys
Rfam family: tRNA
About the family: Transfer RNA (tRNA) molecules are approximately 80 nucleotides in length.
Source: RNAcentral
GGCGGCAUAGCCAAGUGGUAAGGCGAAGAUCCGCAAGAUCUUGACCCCCUAGUUCAAAUCUGGGUGCCGCCUCCA